GGCAAAAGGCCGAUUUCCGGCGCCGUGUGAGGGUCUCAAAAAAGCGCUCCCAGAGGAAGGCCUCGCUAGGGAAGCCGAGAGGAGGCCAACAGCAAGAUCUGGCAGUCGUGUUUAGGAUGGACGGGGAGAAAGGGGUAAGAGAAGAGGGUCUCGGUGCUCACGGGUCAUGGCGACGGCAGCGGCUCCGGCCUGCCUCCGUUGCGUCCCCUCGUUCUGUCCGACGUUGCAGGCCCCGCCCCCUUCUCCGAGCGUAACGAAGUCGUCCUUUCCUCCCCGCCCUAUGGAGCCCGGGCUCAGUCUCCCAUUGGGCAGAAAGAAACACGUGGGGCUGCGGGCCACACUCCAGCCCGGGCGGAUGUGGGGCGGAGGUUCGCAGGCCAGUGCGCUGCGUGGGGCGGGGCUUCCUGGGCUAGGCGUUGGGUCGGGCGGGGAGAAAGUAGGCCGGGUCACGUGGACAGGGUGGGGGUGCAGGGGUGCGGCUGGCGAUGUGGCGUUCCCGCGGGCUCGAGCACGUGACCCGGCAGAGUGACCUCAUGCGGGGACCGUUUGGGACACCGACGGACUCGCCCAAGGGGAACGUUGGUGCUUAUAGCGGAACAGAGUUGAGGCUGGAACUUCAAACUAGCUUCCCCCUCAACAUGAACCUGAUGGGAAGGCAGUACAUCUCCGUCAAUGCCAUCCUCACAAUUUUUGCCAUACCAAAGUAUCACUUGAACUAUUAUUACUUAAAAUGUUUGUACCAAACUUCAAUAAAGCUUAUAAGUCAAA
Molecule: long non-coding RNA, 768 nt
Organism: Canis lupus familiaris (dog)
Lineage: Eukaryota; Metazoa; Chordata; Mammalia; Carnivora; Canidae
Exons: 2
Source: RefSeq, a predicted model, not a curated record